This 63-nucleotide small nucleolar RNA is filed under the name Dipodomys ordii (Ord's kangaroo rat). Lineage: Eukaryota; Metazoa; Chordata; Mammalia; Rodentia; Heteromyidae. The record is from RNAcentral.
AUAUAAUUAGCAGGUCAAAUGUUUGAACUGAAUUAAGCAUGUAGCCAAAUUUACACUGAAUAA